RNAcentral lists this transfer RNA (87 nucleotides) under Richelia sp. RM2_1_2. RNAcentral describes it as "tRNA-Ser". It matches the Rfam family "tRNA". Rfam says of the family: Transfer RNA (tRNA) molecules are approximately 80 nucleotides in length. The record is from RNAcentral. Lineage: Bacteria; Bacillati; Cyanobacteriota; Cyanophyceae; Nostocales; Nostocaceae.
GGAGAGUUGUCAGAGUCUGGCUUAUUGAGUUCGUCUUGAAAACGAAAGGAUGUAAAAGUUCCGGGGGUUCGAAUCCCUCACUCUCUU